Molecule: ribosomal RNA, 281 nt
Filed under: uncultured Staphylococcus sp.
Lineage: Bacteria; Bacillati; Bacillota; Bacilli; Caryophanales; Staphylococcaceae
Description: partial 16S ribosomal RNA
Rfam family: Bacterial small subunit ribosomal RNA
Source: RNAcentral
CUCCUUUGACGUUAGCGGCGGACGGGUGAGUAACACGUGGGUAACCUACCUAUAAGACUGGGAUAACUUCGGGAAACCGGAGCUAAUACCGGAUAAUAUUUCGAACCGCAUGGUUCGAUAGUGAAAGGUGGUUUUGCUAUCACUUAUAGAUGGACCCGCGCCGUAUUAGCUAGUUGGUAAGGUAACGGCUUACCAAGGCGACGAUACGUAGCCGACCUGAGAGGGUGAUCGGCCACACUGGAACUGAGACACGGUCCAGACUCCUACGGGAGGCAGCAGAA